Callithrix jacchus (white-tufted-ear marmoset) is the source of this 1265-nucleotide RNA transcript. It is a transcript of the gene named fibronectin type III domain-containing protein 4-like, with no coding region annotated. The record is from RefSeq and is a predicted model, not a curated record. Lineage: Eukaryota; Metazoa; Chordata; Mammalia; Primates; Cebidae.
AUGUCAAGCGGAUGCCCCAGUGCCCCGCCAGCAGACUCGGUGGGGACAUGGCUUCGCUAAUGCCCCUUUCCCCAUAUCUAAGCCCCACGGUCCUCCUGUUGGUCAACUGUGACCUGGGGUCCACCAGAGCUAACCGGCCUCCCUCUCCUGUGAAUGUGACGGUCACUCACCUCAGAGCCAACUCGGCCACUGUGUCCUGGGACGUCCCAGAGGGCAACAUCGUCAUUGGCUACUCCAUUUCCCAGCAACGGAAGAAUGGCCCCGGGCAGCGUGUGGUUCGGGAGGUGAACACCACCACCCGGGCUGGUGCCCUCUGGGGCCUGGCUGAAGACAGUGACUACACAGUGCAGGUCAGGAGCAUCGGCCUUCGAGGAGAGAGCCCCCCAGGGCCCCGGGUGCACUUCCGAACUCUCAAGGGUUCUGACUGGCUAACUUCAAACAGCCCAGGCCCAGGUGACAUCACAAGGGAGGGUUUUGAUGGAGAGCGACCACUGCAGACUGGGGAAGUGGUCAUCAUUGUGGUGGUGUUGCUCAUGUGGGCUGCUGUAAUUGGGCUGUUCUGCCAUCAGUAUGACAUCAUCAAGGACAACAACUCCACCAACAAUCCCAAGAAGAAGGGAAAGGGACCGGAACAGAGUCCUCAGGGAAGGCCAGUGGGGACAAGACAGAAAAAGUCACCAUCCGUCAACACCAUUGACGUUUGAGUGAAGAAACACACCCAGAAGAGAGAUGCACUAACAAAUUGGGGAUGGGGGUGGGGCCAAGGAAAGUCCAAGAUGGUGAUCUCCCUGAGACUCCCAGAAGGUAAUGACAGUCUCCCAAUCUCAGGCCUGGUACCCAUUCUCUUUCCACUGUGAGAGAGCCAGAAGGUAGGUCUGUUAAAAGUCUGUGCCCCUGGACCUGGGGAGCGGAUAUCAGAUGGGAUAUCUCCUCCCAUCCCCUGGUCCAGGGGAGAGUCACUUGUUCUACCCUAACCCAUUAGGUCCCAAAUGGGGGGCCCAUUCCACCUGUAUCAGGACUCUCAGCAUGCCCAGCUGCCCCCACAUCUUGCCUCUGGGCCUCAGAGAGGGGUGUUUCUGUGGGUACUCCUCUUUCCCCAGCAAACAAAAGGAAUUGUCGCACCCUAGAGGCAGAUGCUGCGCUGCACUACUCCAAUGUCUUCCAUGGAGCCUCAGGUGCUCCCCCUCUCACCUGGCAGCCCCUUCAGCUGCCAGUGAUCUCACUCCUUGCACAUUUUUCCAAUAAAGGUUCUUGGACAAACUGGA